This 243-nucleotide ribosomal RNA is filed under the name uncultured Actinomycetales bacterium. Its description in RNAcentral is "partial 16S ribosomal RNA". It matches the Rfam family "Bacterial small subunit ribosomal RNA", at positions 88 to 334 of the family's 1533-position model. Lineage: Bacteria; Bacillati; Actinomycetota; Actinomycetes; Actinomycetales. The record is from RNAcentral.
UACUCGAGUGGCGAACGGGUGAGUAACACGUGGGUGAUCUGCCCUGCACUCUGGGAUAAGCCUGGGAAACUGGGUCUAAUACCGGAUAGGACCGCACUUUAGUGUGUGUGGUGGAAAGUUUUUUCGGUGUAGGAUGAGCCCGCGGCCUAUCAGCUUGUUGGUGGUGUAAUGGCCUACCAAGGCGGCGACGGGUAGCCGGACUGAGAGGGUGACCGGCCACAUUGGGACUGAGAUACGGCCCAG